Molecule: ribosomal RNA, 237 nt
Filed under: uncultured bacterium
Lineage: Bacteria
Description: partial 16S ribosomal RNA
Rfam family: Bacterial small subunit ribosomal RNA
Source: RNAcentral
CGAACGGGUGAGUAACGCGUGAGGAACCUGCCUCAAAGAGGGGGACAACAGUUGGAAACGACUGCUAAUACCGCAUAAGCCCACGGCUCGGCAUCGAGCAGAGGGAAAAGGAGUGAUCCGCUUUGAGAUGGCCUCGCGUCCGAUUAGCUAGUUGGUGAGGUAACGGCCCACCAAGGCGACGAUCGGUAGCCGGACUGAGAGGUUGAACGGCCACAUUGGGACUGAGGCACGGCCCAG